UGGAAGAUACUGCAACAACCC
Molecule: non-coding RNA, 21 nt
Filed under: Arabidopsis thaliana (thale cress)
Lineage: Eukaryota; Viridiplantae; Streptophyta; Magnoliopsida; Brassicales; Brassicaceae
Source: RNAcentral